Molecule: long non-coding RNA, 499 nt
Organism: Ornithodoros turicata
Lineage: Eukaryota; Metazoa; Arthropoda; Arachnida; Ixodida; Argasidae
Exons: 3
Source: RefSeq, a predicted model, not a curated record
ACGAUGAGCGUAGCGCGCGACGUGUCUCACUCUCGUGGUAGCUCCUUUGUAAAUGUUACAGAGUCCCCAAAUUCGUCCUCAUGCUCGGCGAAGCCUGUAUGUAGAAUAUUUGCGACGGAGGCUUGUCCACGACGUCGUUCAGGUGUGGCAACACUAGCCAGUCAUGGCCUGGCUCUCGUCGGGAGCGGACAUGUGGUUGGGCCCUCCGUCGUUGCGGAGAGGCGCCCCACGUCAGUUGUGUGCGGGCUCUCGUCAGGAGCAGUGGUGUGGUUGGCCGUUCCGUCACCGUGCGGAAAAGUCUUUCACGCAUAUAUCGCCAUGAGGGGGACUGAGGCGCCGUCUGAUGUAAUGGCUUACAACUAGCUAGCCACCUGUCGUCCAUCUCUGCAACCACCCAUUGUUGGCAAAGAGCAAGAUGGCGGUCUCUGGUCACUCGGCUGUUCUGGAGCGAUUUCUUCGACACAGCAUCGUUGAUUUUCAAAUAAAUUGUUUCUCUCCA